Non-coding RNA from Dipodomys ordii (Ord's kangaroo rat), 35 nucleotides. NCBI's taxonomy places the organism in Eukaryota, Metazoa, Chordata, Mammalia, Rodentia, Heteromyidae. The record is from Rfam.
GGAUUUCCUGCUUCAACAGUGCUUGAGUGGAAUCC